AUCAACGCUGGCGGCGUGCCUCAGACAUGCAAGUCGAACGCGAAAGUUCCCUUCGGGGAAUAAGUAGAGUGGCGCACGGGUGAGUAACACGUAGGUAAUCUACCUUCGGGUGGGGAAUAACCCAGGGAAACUUGGGCUAACACCGCAUGAUGCAGCGGCACCACAUGGUGACAGUUGUUAAAGCGGGGGAUUUUCGGACCUCGCGCCUGAAGAGGAGCCUGCGGCGGAUUAGCUAGNGGUGAGGUAACGGCUCACCAAGGUCACGAUCCGUAGCCGGCCUGAGAGGGCGGUCGGCCACACUGACACUGACAUACGGGUCAGACUCCUACGGAGGCAGCAGUCGGGAAUUUUGGGCAAUGGGCGAAAGCCUGACCCAGCAACGCCGCGUGAAGGAUGAAAUCCCUCGGGAUGUAAACUUCGCAAGAAUGGGAAGAAUGAACGAGCGCUAGUACCGUUCGUGAUGACGGUACCAUUUGUAAGCUCCGGCUAACUCCGUGCC
Molecule: ribosomal RNA, 499 nt
Filed under: uncultured bacterium
Lineage: Bacteria
Description: bacterial SSU rRNA
Rfam family: Bacterial small subunit ribosomal RNA
Source: RNAcentral